This is a non-coding RNA of Triticum aestivum (bread wheat), 135 nucleotides long. The record is from Rfam. NCBI's taxonomy places the organism in Eukaryota, Viridiplantae, Streptophyta, Magnoliopsida, Poales, Poaceae.
CAUUUACUCCCUCCGUCCGGAAAUACUUGUCAUCAAAAUAGAUAAAAGGGGAUGUAUCUAGACAUAUUUUAGUUUUAGAUACAUCUCCUUUUAUCCAUUUCGAUGACAAGUAUUUUUGGACGGAGGGAGUAUUAU